CCCCACCACCUCCCUUUUGUCCUCUCUGGGGAUCUCCUCCCCCCUCUUUCUGGUCCUUUGCCUCCCAUUUGGCUCACACCUCAACUACUGCCUCAUCUGCAGACCCCUCUGGCAUCGGCUCCUCUAGCUAUGCCUCUGAAUUCUCUCAUGGACCCGACUUUGCCCCCACGCUUUACAGCUGUGCCUGAAAGACAGGUUGGCUUCCCAGGAGGCAAAGGACAUGCUGGGCUGUAGCUUGCUGAAGGAUGAGAAACACAUGGAGCAGAGCUGAGUCAUCCCACUGGACCCAGCAGAAGCCUGAACUGAUCAGUGGACUGCAAGCCAUUUCUGAGCUAUUUGGGUGAUGAGCACAGAUGAGCAGAGUCAACCAGUCUAAUGUCCUAAAUGCAUGAACAAUAAAGGCUUAUUGUUGAAUGAG
Non-coding RNA from Macaca mulatta (Rhesus monkey), 418 nucleotides. The record is from RefSeq and is a predicted model, not a curated record. Lineage: Eukaryota; Metazoa; Chordata; Mammalia; Primates; Cercopithecidae.